Molecule: RNA transcript, 449 nt
Organism: Arabidopsis thaliana (thale cress)
Lineage: Eukaryota; Viridiplantae; Streptophyta; Magnoliopsida; Brassicales; Brassicaceae
Exons: 2
Source: RefSeq
UAGACUUAUUUCUCUGUUAAAAUACUUGGGAAAUGAGUGAACUUCUUUUCAAGCAUGUGUGAUCCGGGCAUAUCCGACUAAAUUCCAGAGUGAUCAAAACGGCCAAAACAUCUUGUCCACCAAAUUUUCAUUUGGACUUUCGACCUAAUUCCAAUUGACCACGUGCAUCUUCGGAUCCAGAAAUAAAAUAUGAAUAUAAGUCAUGCUUCUUAUGUUAUAAUUCUAGAUGUGUGGUAUUGAGACUAAUUUGUAACAUGUUUAUUGCAUUCAAUCUAACAUCUUCCAUUCUAUUCAAUGUAAAUGGUUGGAUUUGUAAGUGAAAGAUGCAUCUUUUCCUGAGUCCUGACACUUGACAUGUGCAAUUGUGUCUAUAAAUGAGGAUCAUGAAAUGUAGGGAAGAGUUCAGGGGAAUAAGCAAGUUAUGAAAAACACAGAGGAACCGCGAAGAA